Small nuclear RNA from Pogona vitticeps (central bearded dragon), 155 nucleotides. Its record names the gene U1. It matches the Rfam family "U1 spliceosomal RNA". Rfam says of the family: U1 is a small nuclear RNA (snRNA) component of the spliceosome (involved in pre-mRNA splicing). Its 5' end forms complementary base pairs with the 5' splice junction, thus defining the 5' donor site of an intron. NCBI's taxonomy places the organism in Eukaryota, Metazoa, Chordata, Lepidosauria, Squamata, Agamidae. The record is from Ensembl.
ACUCAUACCUGGCAGGGGAGAUACCACUGUUGUAAAAGUGGUUUUCCUGGGGUAAGGCUCAUCUAUUGCAUUCUGGAUGUGCUGACCCCUGUGAUUUUCCCAAAUGUGGGGAAAUCAACUGCUUAAGUGGGGGACUAUGUUUGUGGUUUCCCCUG